Molecule: long non-coding RNA, 951 nt
Organism: Drosophila montana
Lineage: Eukaryota; Metazoa; Arthropoda; Insecta; Diptera; Drosophilidae
Exons: 2
Source: RefSeq, a predicted model, not a curated record
UGAUCUGUGGGGGAACAAGAAUAAAAUAGACGUUUCAAUAUCUAACUUCUUUUGGUAUUUUAUACAAGCAAUUUUUGUCUUAACCCAAAGUGUCAUUUUUCGUGUUAGACAAUUUGGUCACACUGUCCGUGUUUUCAGCAUGUUGAGGGUCUGACAGUCCGCCAUGUCUGUGUGAACGUGUGGUAGAACAAGCGCAAAAGAAAAAACUCAAAAUGAAAAACAAUACAUACGCAAAAAAUCGAUCAAACUCGAAAGCAUUUUUUUUUGAUUGCAAAGAAAACUCACACACAAAAUGGCGCAACCAAAACAAAAACUAUGCUGCAGCUAAAGCUGAAAAAGUGGCAACGCGUUUAUGUAAUAGAAUUUUUUGCAGGCGUUGUGUAUGUGUGUGCGUGUACGUGUGUCGUACGCGCCACAAAACGGAAUGCGCGAAAAUGGGCAUUGAAAGAGCAGCGCAAAGAGCAAGUGCUGAUAGCAUGGCAGCGCAAUGGGCGCGCGCGUGCUACAAACAAAUUGAAACGAAAUGAAAUGUUAUGAAGCUCGGAAGGGGGGAAUGUGGAAGGAAAAAAACACAGCACAAGUCCUGUAAUUUUUGGAAUGAAACAAGCCGGCAGCGCCAACCCCAACAAAACAAAAAUAUGUUGACACACGGACGUUUGGUAGUUGUUGCGCCUAGAAGCAAUAGAAACAGACAAACAUUUUUUACUUGUGUCUUUUUAAUAAGAAUUUGACAUACGCUUUAAAUAUGUAUGGCUAUUUUCGAUUGUUUUCUGAUUAGACCAAUUAUAGUAGUCGAGCAUAUAUGUAUGUACAUAUAUUUACAGUUGUAUGCAAUAGCAACAAUGGCUGGCGACAUUUUACGCAGUGAACAGCGUGUUCUCAUAUGUUCUGCUGGACAGUUACAUGCACACACAUUACACUCAUACAACGGCACGCAGCUUAAGCUUUGAA